This is a long non-coding RNA of Ictalurus punctatus (channel catfish), 521 nucleotides long. The record is from Ensembl. Lineage: Eukaryota; Metazoa; Chordata; Actinopteri; Siluriformes; Ictaluridae.
GUGUGUGUGUGUAUCAAACUGAACAAUGUGGGAUAGGUGUGGAAAAAACCAGCACAGAUGACAUGAGAUCCACAUAAAAACCUCUUCCUCUUCAUCAUUUAAGCCUCUGACAUACCUUAAGGCAGGAAUCCCAAAUGCACUACAUGUGCUCACUACAUAAGCUUUGGAUGACUAAUUCUUCACCAGCUCUUUAUCCUCCAUGUUUUUUUCCUCGUUUGUCCCAACUUGCAACAUGACUGGAGGUAAAGCAAAAAAAAAAAAAUUUUAAUUCUUGACGUCAGUUGGGAAUUUUCUGAAAAGUUGAACCUUGGAUGCUCUUGUGCGACCAAAAAUGCAGACGGGAACGCUAUUCCCAUAAGGCUAAAUGUAAAAUGUGUGAGGGCAGAUGAGAAAAAAUGGCAAGUGGGAACGCACGUCAACACGCCCCUGCUUUGUGUGAGUAUCCACUGUAUAUGUGAAGUGAUAUCAAAUGCUGACAACAUGCUUACCAUUUAAUUUGCUGUAAAGGUUUAUUAUUUUUC